UAGGGAUAACCCAAUAGCGAUAGCCUUAAAAGGCGAAGCCUAUACGACAUAGAAUCUAGAGUUACAAUACGUAACUAUUGUUUUCCCCCAAAGCAGCUCAAGUGGGCGGUUCCUUCUGUCCCCGGAUUAGCCCUGGCGGCUGAGUGGUGCGGGGCCCAGCCAACCAGAGAGCGAUAGCGCCGUGGAGGCGUAUAAAAGCCUGAUGUGCCUUACAAGCAGCGGCAGACACCUGUAGGGAAUGAAGGCAUGUAGUCACAUUCUGUUGAGCGCAAGAGUUUGCCUUUGUGUGUUCCCAGAUUUGGGCCAGGGUAAGAGGAAUCUCUCCUAUACUGAUAUUGUUCACUUGCACUCCCAUUUAGGUUUUUCACUGUUUAGACACACUGGCCCUCAUUUAUCAAACGAGCGUACGACAGAAAACGUGCGUAAAAUGGACGUACGCUCAUUUCAACGUUGAGCUUGGCAUUUAUCAAUUUGAACGUGAGCGCAGGCUGCGAUGAAAUCUCACGUCAGGUCUGAGCUCGUGUACGCAAGUUUUUUUGGCGCAACACACGGGUAUUUCACUGAUGAAUAGUGCAUCACAAGUAGCCCAUGUUGCACAUCUGUAUUAAUUACUAAACAAAUUGGAAUUAGCCCAGCCGUUCAAACAAUUACAAUCAAGUCAGCCCUAAUUAAAAACAGUAUUGCUAUGAAAAUAAUUUGAAUGUGACAGGUGAAAUGUUUAUUCAGCUGUCUAUAUAAACAGGAGCUUUGCCAAAUAGGUGCUCGAGUCGCAGCGAUGGCAGAUCUGGCUCUGUUAGAGGACCUCAACGCACGUCUAAGACGAGAGAGAGUUUUUCGAAACCGCGCCGAUUUUUUUAUGGAGAGCGAUGAAUGGCUCUUGAGUCGUUUUCGUCUCCCAAGGCAUCUCCUGAUGGAGCUAUGCAAUGCUUUGGAGCCACACAGAGAAACUAGGCGACUAAACGCAAUACCUGUGCCAGUGCAGGUGUGCUCUACCUUGGGGUUUUUGGCCACCGGGACCUUUCAGCGGAAGAUCGGGGACAGGUCUGGUAUUUCCCAGCCAAGUAUUAGCCGAACCAUGCCAGCAGUUUUGGCAGCUAUACUGUCCCUCUCUGAACGUUAUAUUAAAUUCCAUACACUAACGAUCAGCAAACUGGAAUCAAACGGGAUUUUUAUGCUAUUGCUAUGUUUCCAAAUGUGAUUGGUGCGGUUGAUUGUACCCAUGUGCGUAUGAAGCCACCAUCUAUUAAUGAUUACGCGUACAUCAACCGCAAAAGCUACCAUUCAGUUAAUGUUCAGAUUAUUUGCGAUGCCAGAAUGUCAAUCCUGAACAUGGUAGCCCGAUGGCCUGGGGGCACGCACGAUUCUUUUAUUUUCCAAAAUAGCAACGUUGGGCAUCGUCUACAUCAGGGCGCACUACAUGGUCAGAGUCAUCUCGGUGAGUUACGCUGCAGUCGCACUGCACCGGCCUCCUCCCGUUUCUUGCUUGGCCGGCUUCACAGCCGCAACACGUUUUUUGGUGAUGAGCUUCAUGUCGGACCAUUUUUUCUUCACCUUAUUCGGAAUUAAAUAACUUUAACGGAAUGCAAACAAUAGCAUAUAUGUGAAAUGUUUUAAGCUGGAUAACAGAAGUUGUACAUUUAAUUUAUUAUUUAAUUUAUUAAAUUAACAAACCUCUUCCGUAGCCCGACGAACAUUGGAAACAAUAUUCACUGCAACAGUUAUUUCCUUCCAUAUAGUAUUCUUUUGCUGGCCUUUAAUGCCAGCUUUUAGGCUACCAAAUAAAACCAGACGGUUCACAUCCACCAGUGACCCGAGCGUCUCCAUUUGGGUCUCGGAAAAAUUCCUCUAUUUUACCGUUGGACGUUUCUCCAUGUCGUAAAAGUUGGGGGCGAGACUUCUGAAGACGUGCUUUUAUAUGGGCGUGUGUUACGAAACCGCUUUGGGUCACACCGGACCGAGUAACACAGACUGAAAGUCACGUUGAAACAGACGUUUUAUUUAGCAGACGCUGCCUUACACAUGGCGGGACGGUUAUUAACUCAACGAAAGGAAAGAUAACAAAUCAGAAAGGAAACCCUAACUAACCCUAACUCUGGGGGACCCAACUUGUCCUACACCGAAAGUAAAAGGGAAUGUGAAUUAGCCGGGACCUAUGUCUACUCUGCUCAAACCUAACUUAAAACGUGAAAACAACCAUCUCCUCACCAACAACGUAUAAAGUGAAAUGAAAGCAAUAAUGUUCCCACAUGGGAAAAGACGGCACUGGACCGUAAAUUACUUGGCACAAAAGAUAACAAUUCACACUGAACGAUCGGUGGCGUGCGGGACCAGGAACAAAUCCCCCGCCCUUGCAGUCUGGGCUGGGCGGUCUUUAUAGGCGACGUCAGGCGACGGCGGGAACAACCAGCCUAUAGGAAUAAAGGAACUGCAGAACAGCGCAGCUGCGCAAAAUCUCAUAUUUGCCGUAUAGGAACGUAACAGCGUGUUACGUUCAUUACGAUCGAUCUCAGCCGCCGUAUUUAUCAACACCAAGAUCCUUCGUACGCUGGGAAUGGUGUGAUACGAAGGUUUCGUAAAUCUCACGUGGGUCCUAUCGUAAGAUGAAUCAUGCGUUCAGAUUUGCGCUCAUUUCUACGUUUGUUUGAUAAAUGAGGGCCACUAGGUUUAGGGGGUGCUGAUCAUUUGUAUUUCUGUUUCGUUAUGCUAGAGUAGCCAGUUAGGUUUUGUUUUAGGACUAUUCGUGUUUAGUUAUUAGAUAGGUAGCUCCAUUCUAUUUUAAGGAGCUCUCUUUUGGUUAUAUUUGUUUAUUUGCUUUGACAGCAACUAACGGCCCUUUUCUGACAGUUGUUCCUUUCUAUUCCUUUGUCGGAAUAUAAUAAAGCACAAUAAUUACAAUCGCAAUCCAUCGGGUUGUGUGUGUUACUUCCAUUUCCCCCCUUAACGAGUAGGGGUCGUAACAGAUGAAUUUACUUAUCUAAUAUUUCAUAAGAGAGAAAGCUUUUGUCACAAAUAUUACUUUCUAUGAACAAUGCAAUAAUCAAUGCAGCUUGCAUUAUAACACUAUGGAAGCAUUAAAAAAAUAGGUUUCAGUUUUAUUUCCUGUCUAAUCUUUCUUUUCUAUGUCAUUAAAGGAAAAGCUGCUCAUGAAUUAGAAGGAGUUCUUCUGUCUGGCUGUGAGUUUGAGUGCAUGCUAUGCGUAGGCUGAAUCGUGUCAAGACAAUCGUGUCAAGACAAAUCAGAUUGGCCAAUACACACUGAAGAUAAAUUCAAUAAUUUUAAAAUUACAAAAAUUAUCCCUCUCUGGCGAACAGAAUGUUGCAGCAGGCAAAAAAAUGUAUCUUUUUUUUUAAAUUCUGAUUAUUAAUUUAUCUGCAUCGAGACAAUCAUUUUAGUGAGAAUCGCGAUGCAUCGAAGAAUCGAUUAUUUUUCCCACCCCUAUUAAACACUCACGAAGGACCAAUGUAGACUUCACUCGUUACAACAUCCUAAGCAAACAGUUUAGGAUAAUCACACAGGUUAUGAGUGAACAUAUUUAUGUCAGAAUAGGCCUACCAGGCUUGAAGUCUAACGUCACAUAUCUCAAUCAGACAAAACAACUAUAACCACAUUGGCAUAGCAAUCGCACCGUGUGUAGCUGCUAGUAGCUGCAAUCUAUAUAUACCUUGUAUAUGUACAAUGCAUACUAGCUGGAGCACCAACCAGAAUCAGAUCACAAUCGCUUAGGACCGUGGGUAACCUUUGGCCAGAUCAUCACGAGCAAACAAAACCAGCAGCAAACUUUACGUAAACUAAUUUCUUACCUUAUGUGGCCCUCCACUUGCAGGCUAGAUAAUGUAUCCAUAUCGUUAUCCAGUGUCACAAACAUGCUUUUUACAGGAAGCAAAAGGAUCGGCUAUUUUCUGAAUAAAAAUGUCAAUUUUGGCUGUCUGUCUUGAAACUUCUCCAUUAUAACGCUGUGUACAGACAGCACAUGUUCACCCUCCUCCCCCUUGCGAUGACAUUAAAUAUAAUUUAACAAAUUAUACAAACAACAAAAAAGGCUUAAGUCGUAAGGCUAUUUAACUGGAUCCAUAAUGUUUAAGAGAAAAGCUGGAACCGAUAUAAGAUCCUUAAUCAGCUGGCAAAAAUCACCUUGUUUUACGUUGUUUGAUAUUAACUCAGUUAACUGCUAGUUCUCAUCUAUUGCUUACGUAAACGGUCAGCUAGCAGUAACAAUGCAGUUAGCUACAUACAGGCUUUAGCUACAGUCUAUGCUUUGGCUACUACAAAUUUCUGUCUUCCACUUUUAUUGGUUGAGUGGAAUACAUUUUGUACAGUAGCGAUGGUUUCUAGUGUUCCAUAUACAUCUCAAGUUAAUUCCAUGAUAUUCUGUUAGCCUUCGCUAGUACUAGAAGUCAUAAAAGCUAGGCUAGGAAAGCUAGCCUUCGAAGUUCACGUUUUCUCAGGUCACAAUGUUCGAUCUGAAUGCGCCACCAUGGGAAUGCACCGAUUCCGCUGUCAUUUUACCACGCCAUGUUUCUACAGUGGCUGACAGUCGACAAAUCAAACAACUAGAUACCAAAAUGUGUUUUUCACAUGUUUGUUAUCUGCGGAUUUACCAAUAGAUGUCCCUAUAUGAUUAUCAAUACUGUACAUAAAAAAAACAGAAUUUUCCCCAAAUCUAUGCAAAAACGUUAAAUAAAAACCAAAAACAAGUUUUAUUUUUGAACCAUCUGUCAUCAGAAAAAGGAACCAAGUGCAACAGAACAAAACAAAGAAGUACAGGGACCGGGAGCUGUUGAGGUGAGGGUCACAUAAGGAAAACUUGAACAUUCAGAAACAAUAACAUGAAACAUUACUAACAAAGUUUAGCAUUUUCAUAAGGAAUAGGAACUGAGUGGAACAGAACUUAUCAAAGAAGCACAGGAACAGGGGGUUGAGAAUGUAGAGGUGCAGCAGGUGUGGUUUCUAAAAAAAAGAUGCUAUUGCACAAAACAUAUACUAGACAAUUAUAGUGAAGUGGGCAGGGCUACAACUACAAAUAAAAAAAUAGUAAGUUGUAGAUGAAAGAAAAAGGCAACACGAUGGCAAUAAUGAACAAUUAAAACAAACAAAAAAAAACAUUUCAGAGAACUAUUUACAGAAAUACUACCAAAUUAUCAUCCAUGUCACUGACUACAUUACAGGAGGAGGUGCCUAACAAGGAGGGACAUAAGGAUAACCCUUCCCAAACAGCGGAAGAGCUCAAUACCCCUGAGCAGGGCUCUACGCUAACUUUUUUUUUCAGGAGCACUCGUGCCCCUAAGUUAAAAAAUGUAGGAGCACAGAAAAAAAAACGGGGGCACAAUAGGUUUUUGUUAAGAACAUUUAUUAGCGUGAAGAAAUUGCACAAACCAACCGCACCAACUUACUAAAACUAAAUUAAUACAAAUAGACAAGAUUACAUUUAGGCUACACAAAACAGCACCAAUUUACUAAAAAGAUAAAUAGACAAGAUCACAUUUAGGCUACACAAAAAUCAUGACGGGCUCGGAAUCACUUGGCCAUGACUUGUAGUUGGGUCGACGUGACCUUUUUCCAGCUGACAGCCAGUGUUCGGCACAUUUAGUGGGAUCAAAUAAUUCAAGCGAGGGGCCCUCUGUAGUGAUCCUGAUAAGAUCCUCUGUGGUGGAGACAUGCAAGCAGCUCCUCAAAGAGCUUUUGAGGCGUUUCUACGCAGAGAAGCCCCGCUCACACUGUGCAGAAGAAAUUGGGAGGACCAACAGUAUGUCCACAGGGUGUAGGAUGUUCUGUAAGAGUAAUUUAAAAGGGACUCAUACUAACUGAUCAAAAGAAAUAACUACAUACCAGAAAUACCUCAUUACAAUUAAAGUACAACCUUCCAUUUAAGUGCUGAAUUGUAUGUAACCUUGUAGUCAGUUCUGUAUGGCUCUUUGGUUGAAACUGUUUGCCAUAAGCUGCUGUAGGACUUGUCCUUAAACGUGUGGCUGACAAGGGUCUUCAAACUCUGCCAUUCCCCUGACAAAGCAUCCAUCUGGCAUCCAGAGCUAGAGAGAGAAAAACAUAGGCUUGUCCCUCAUCUGUUUCAUAAUCUGGUAACACAUCAAAUCUAUGAUAUUAGACAGCAACGUGCCUUGUAAGGACAUGACGAAAAUGCUCCAUUAGGGCCUCCAACUGAUCGUUGCCAUAAUCAACCAGUUCAUGGGUAUUCUCAGGCCAGGAGUCAUGAGGAAAGAUUUUCAUGCAAUUCACUGCAGAGUAGUCUUCGGAGUCUUCAUUAAUGAGACUGCCGAAUCUGGUGUUAAUGGAUUCCACAGUGGUGGUGAUAACAGAGGUGAUGUUUCUCUGUAGCCUGUGCUGCAUUCCUGUGACAUCUCCCGAGAGUGGUACACCCGUUAAGAAAAAAUUAUGGAAAAUGAACAGAACAUACCUAGUUAUAGCAUCCAGUAGCUUGUGCACACAACAUGUACAGAAUAUUUCACACAGACAUGUAAAAGACAUGUGAGGUGAUUAAAAUUGAUUGAAAUUAGAUCUCUUCCUGCCCUUGUAGACAUUCCAUGAACUGACAUAGCAUGCCUCCUCUUUGCGGUGUUUCCUGCAUAGCAUGCAACACCAUCACUGUCUUUCUCAGCGCUGAGAUGGCUUGAAGAAAAAUGAGGUUGUUCUUCUGCAGAACGCAACUGAGCAAGGCCAGUUCAUUAAACACGUCAGCCAGGAAAUGGCUAAAUGCGCAGAAGUUAAUCUCGUGCAUUCCCUUCCUAAUCUGAACAGGGGCAGUUAGAAAAAAUACCUUGUUUAGAUUUUAAGUGAUAUAUCCCAAAAUAAAUCAAGUCACUUUGAUAAGCAAUGUGUACUAUGGUUUUGUAAAACUUACCUUCUUUGCACGCCCUUGAAUUUCAGCACUGGCUGCUGAGGAGGCAAGGUGGUCCAUGUGGCGCAAAACAGCCGAAUACUGACCACUGUCAGUUGACAGACUCCCUUCUUUUCCUGCACGAAGGAACACACUCAGUGCCCGGUGUACAUGGGGAAUCCACCUCGUCCCUUUUACGCUUGAAGGAGAGCAUACCCUCACACCUAGCUCUUCUCCAAUCAGGUUCAGCUCACGCCUGGAUUUAGGGCUCUGGUGGUACGUCUUCCACACAAGAUGGAGAAGGUCAUAGACUUUGGCCACCAUUGUCUCAUUGAGCUGCAGGUUGAGACUGGCCAACUCCAACCUAGACAUUGACAACAAACACAGACAAAUCUUAUAGCAGUAACCUUUUACUAAUGGGCAAAUGCAUACAAUCAACCAUGACAUUCUGUAAUAUAGUUAGGGCACACUGUUUGUACAUUCACCUGUGAAGCAUGCAAUGAAUGGGAAUUACAUGCUGUCCGGCUGCCUGUUUGAGUAGAGCACUCACUCCCCUAUGCACACCCAUGUUGACUGAAGCGCCAUCUGCACCAAAUGCGACACACUUGGCCUUCCAGUCGCAUAUACCACGUCCAAAGCAUUAAAUACUGCAUUGGUUCCAGCCAGGAAACCUUAAGAAAAAAAGAGAAAUUCCUUAAAGUAGCCUUUUUUUUGUCCACAUAUUCAUAUUCUGUGUAAGUCAUUUUGCAUUAAUUUCAUUAAUAAUGUUAGCCUAUAGGACUAACUAUUGUUGUAGACAUGACAUUCACAUUUCAGUCCCCUUUUAUUAUUUUUUCCCCUUUACCAUUGGACUUUAUAAUACACCACCAUUAAAUACCUAAACUUAAUAUAAAUAUACACAUUUACAUUAUAAACACACACACGCGCGCACACACACACCACCAUCAAUCAUCAUUGCAUUUCAGAAUAACUAGGAGAGCUAGGCCUAUACGAUUGGUGAAGAAGAUAAAUUGUGGGUCUGGGUGAUAAAUAUAAAAACAUAGAAUGUCUUUGCCACUCACUUUGCGCAUGAGCGUGUAAGAGAGCCUGUUGGCCGACGAGGCGGGUCACCGGUCUGCCAUCCUCCACGAAGCGCACAUACACAAUCUCACACUCCGUGUUUGAUAUGUCCGUAUCGCCAUCUAUCAGGACUGCGAGGUAACGGGCCGCUUGUAGCUGGGCAGCGAGAGUGUCUUUGAUGCCUUCCGCUAUUUGACCGACCAUCUCAGCACAUCUCACAUCAUUGUCAUAUGUGGGAUUGAUGUUUAAUCCAUUUUUAUGGUGAAGGGCAAUCAUCGGUCCAAAUUUAGUGAACGCUAUCUCUUCCUUUGCGAUCACAUACGCUAUGUUAAAUUUAACCUUCAGCUGCCGAAGCGCGUCCUGAUUAGAGAUAGCCACUUGUCUGCCAACGGCGACUUCAACAGUACCAGGGUUAUUGGGCUGGGUGCGAUUUAUAUAUAAAUCGCGACAUCGAGAAUGUCGAACUGUGUUUCACCACAGCAUCGCGUUUUAGAUUAGGGUUCCCCGUUAUAAACAGAGAAGAGCCUGCCAUUGCCGAUGGGGCUUCCUUACAAAAUUUACAGAAAAUUGUCAUGUUCUUGGGAUCAUAAAGUAGCCACCCGAAAUCGUUCAACCAGUCGGGGUUGAAUUUGUAGACUUUAUCGACUACAGUAAAUUUCUCCACUCUAACCUUCUUCCUGGCGAUUUCUUCCUCUUCCUCUCUUUGUUUGUGUUUUCCCAUCAUUCUUUUUGAAAAACGCAGUUAUGCCUUGCAUAUUUGUUGUAGCUUAGUAGUUAGCGGUGUUGAGAUGUGCAAUAUCACAUACAGCGAGAGGCGCUCGAGCAGCGAUCCAACCAAAAUAGAUCCCAGCUGAGCGGACUGUUGCCAAGCAACAUAUAAACAAAACACCAUACACGAAGAAUGCGGAGUGAUUUACAGUUUGGUGAAAAGUCUGAGUGACGUUGUACGCUCAUAUCAGCGCUCCUGCAGAGCACAUGGAAUGAAAGGAUGAUUGGAUGACGGAUCGUCGCUGCCGAAAAAGUUGAACAUUUUUCAACUUCUUGACUGAGCCAAAGGCUCAGGCAAAAGACAUGCAUGUUAGCCUAUAUAGCAGGGCACUGAGAAUUGCUGUAAUGCUCAGCUACUACCCUGGGUAAAUAAAGUUUAAGAUUAAUGUGAUCCAACCUAAUAACAGCCGGCUUGGGGCAGAGGCAACACAAGGGAUGACCAACAGCCUCCUUUUCAAUGAGGCCUUGUAGGUGGUUUGGUCGUGCUUCUGUCCAGCGCUCUGAGGCUUUCUGCUGCCGAAAAGUCCAUGAAGAUGCAGAGCUUCUUUGAGGCUUGGCAGAAGGACCAGAGGCAUUUAGAGAUGAAAGCCUCUCCACAAUAGAUCACUAAUCUAUUGAAACAUGAUCAGGAUCACGUAUUUUCAAAAUGUUCGUGUUUUAAAGCACAAAUUUCAAACCCAUGUAUUUCAAUUGGAAGUAUUUGUCGUGUCACCAGCACGACUUCCAAACUAAGGUUCUGUGCGGGAGCGUUCUCCCUAAUGUCCCUUAAGGAGCUCCGUACAGAACAUUUAUUGUUAAAAAUUGUCUGUGAUGAUAACUAACAAUAUGACAGCUUUUGGCCACCCAUUUCUACUUAAACUUGUCUGUGAACAAUAUGACAGCUUUAGGCCACCCGUUUCUACUUUCACCUUUGAUUCUGAGAAAUUGUGACAAUUCACGGAUAUAUUAAAUGCAGGUGCGCUGUAUGUCUUGAUGUUUAUUUUAUCUAGCCAUCUACUGUCUUGUUUUUGGUUAUGUGAAUGAAAGUCCGCGUCGACGCCUCGCAAGUCCAGUGUCGGGAGCGGACGUUGCCAUGACAUCUAGAAAUCAUAUCGUAUUUAAUGGGUUGUCACUAAUAUUGAUGUGUUGGGCUUGAUUAUAACACUUGAAUAAUAUUGUUUGCACCACGGCCUGGGGGAAUACUCGUAUUCUGAUACCUGCUGAGUAGUUCCAGUCAGCGUUUAGAUUCUCUGCCCGAACCCGAGCCCGACCAGACCCGACCCGCGGGCCGGGUCUGGCCGAUAUUUCCCACCACUAUCCUCGGGCCGGGCCUUUGAUCGAGCUUUUUUAUUUUUAUUUUAUCAUUGGUUUAUUGGCCUAAUCUGAGGAGUAAUCUAUGCCAUAAACAGGAACGGUAUAGGCCUUUAUUACACGGGUCUUCUCAAUGCCGUGGCCCGUGGAACGCUCCGUUCACUUGCAUGGGUAGUAGUCCGGUGACUUGUCAACCCCAGCGUCUUCCGUUGCUAAGCGACGUCACCAUCUUUGCGGACAAAUUAUUUCUCUGUUGAUCAACACUACGAAUGCUGGAAACUAAUAAAUUGUAAAAAAAAAAAAAAGACACAGCAUGUGAAGUUAUUUUUUCGUUUUGGCAAGUUCCAGUCAAAUUGUCUUUUCAGCCUUCCAAACGAGAGCUGGUAAAUAGUGAAAAAUGCAUUAAACUGUAAUCAGAAAACGUGGAUAUAUGCUAUUGACCCUAGUGUGGUAUUAAGGAUGGGACGAAUUUCGAAUUAUAAAUAUGUUGAGCGGACUAGAAUGACUCCCGUAGGCCUAUAUAUUAUUAUUAUUAUGCACGUCUUGAGCCAUCAGUCGGAACGUGUCUGUGCCGCUUCCAGUGUGGAUUUCAGUAAUUACAACAUUUCUGUGCAUAAGCAGACAACAUCCCAAAGAUUUUUUCAUUCUAUGUAUCUUCCAGUCUGUACAUAUCAAAGGCGACACCCUGCAGCGCAGCUUCUUGGAGUUUUCAUAUGCUUCGUUUGAGAAGGACCAACUCUGCUGUGGUGCUGUUUUCACCUGCACACCAGAGAUGUUGGCUGUUUCAGUAGAUGGAAACAGAAAGUUAUAUCGCUUUCGCCGAAAUGGAAGGUGCUCUUUGUUCCAGUGUUAUUAUUGAUUGAUUGAUUGAUUUAGUUACAUAUUUAAUACAUUUAAUUUCUAUUCGUCUUCCACAGUUCUGGUGACCAUGCCUUUUUUGAAGGUUUAUUUGUGGCUGAAGACAGUGCAGUGUCUGGAUUUGUGGACAUGAUCCAGAAAGCUGUGAAAAAGGCAAGUUUGAAUCGUAAUUUGACAAAAUACUUCUGUUGCUAAAAUAAACAUAUCUAUCCAACAUAGAUUUCCUCCCCAACUGCAACUUCUGCCUGCCAACUAAAAAAUCAAAUUUAGUGAAUACAUGGCAUAUACAGUGUUUUAUGAUACCAUUGAGUUUAUUUGAUUUAUUUUUGUUUACGUGUCAUAGACACAGGGAAGAGGCACGUGUGGGGACUCCCAAUGGACAGCAGCACGGGAGACAUCAAGAAGGGCAUCCAAAUUGGAUGAAGAGGGCAUGGAGGUUGCUGUGUGUCGCCAUGGUUUCCUUCUUAAAGCCCUUAAUAUGUACAGGGGAGAAAUAUUUGCCUACCCCAUGUACCUUCAAAAGGAGCUGAUGCCAGCCAAGGCACAAUUCUUUGCCAUGGAUGUGGCUUGCAAAUACUGGCCAUACCUGGAGAAAGUUGCCAGUGUCCUUCCUGCUCUCCAGGAGCUGACCACCAUGAAACCUUUCCUCAGCGUCAUGCAUGCUCGAGCUCAUGCUACCAAGUGUGAGGUAUGUUUAUUAUUUUUUAUUAUGGUAUGUAAAUUGUAAUGUUUAUAAUAUUAAAUUUAAGUUAAUGGGUAGACUAUAUUAUGUAUAUGUUUUGUGUUACCAUUCCACUCAACCUUUACUAACAGAUUAAAUGGAGUGGUAGGAACCAGGAAGGAGCAGGGACAACCGCCGGUGAAGAGGUGGAACAAGUUAACAGCUACCUCUCUCGUUGUGCCCUUACGACAAAAUAUAUGUCGAAAGCAGGUGAACAGAGUGUUUUCCAUAUUGUUGCAUACUUCUUUUCAAAGACUGCAUGCCAUCAACUCAUACUUUGCCUUCAAUAGCCCGGUUGGACAUGCUCACAUUGCAUUCAAUGUUGUGGAACCAGAAGAAAGGGGAUUCCUUACACCAGGCACUUUCCACAAGAUAUGUGAAGACUUGUCAGAGGCUCCUGGAUGAGACUGCAAUGCUAGCAGAGCUAAAAACCCAGCUACAUCUCUCAGAUGAAAUGGUGUCACAGUGGAUUUCAGAUGUGAUGGAAUGGGCAGCUGGUGGUAAGCAUGACCAGAUAACAGAAAAUAACACAAUACUUUUCCACUACUAUUUGAAUCUUCAGGUUUGAUAUUAAAGAUCAGCCAACAAUAGUUGGCUGAUCAUUCAGGGCAGUUAAAGUGAUCUCUAGGGAUUACAAGAGGUGGUGACAUCACCUGCCACCAAGACCAGCAAACUGUGUGACAUGUUGGGUUUUUUGUAUAUUCCAGUUUCUCUUUUGGAAGUAUACAUACCAAGUUGUACAAUCAAGUUGGGUUAAAAGGGGUUUAUGUGUAACAUGAAUUCAAACAUCGAAACUGUUAUGUGUUGUUUUAUUUUGAAUUUUACUAUUAUUUCUACAGAGACACGAGAUACAUCUGACAACCUGCAAGGCACCACACACACAGGGCUUCAGCGGUCCAUUGAGGUGCUCUACCUCAGUGUGAGGCAGCGGAAGCUAAAUCUGUACCGUCAGAAUGGUAUUACUACUGUAUAAAAUACACACAAACAAAUACAUGGAAUUAGUACACAAUGUAGAAGCAAUUACGCCAAUUACAGCUCAAUCAUUACAUUCUCUUCUGUUUGAUUGUAACUGAUUAUUAUCUAGAUUGUCAUUAUUACAUUCAUCAGUCACUCACUGCAGCUUCACUUUCACUUUUUGAGUGCAAUGUAUUUUUUGCUUGACAAACAGUUCUGUCAAGAGCCUUCACCCAUCUACUUCAUGUAAUUCUAGACAGCAACAAGCUUCGCCACCGGCUUCGGAGGAAGCUGGCAGAAGAGAAAAAGCUCCUUCUUCAGGAGAUACAAAAGCACAACAAGCUUGACUCUGCAGCAAACAUCGAUGCAGCUGUGGUGGAGCACUCCCUGAGUGGAGAGAGCACUGUGUCCCCAAUAUGGCCUUGGGAGGUUCAUGACAGCGCAAACAUUGGAACCAAGAAACGGCUUCAUGACCAAGUGAUGACAACAAAGCGACUGCAGGAGGAAAAAAACAUUCUGGUGAUGGAGAUGGCACAACACUGCACAUGGUUGCAGAACCUGGCAUUGGUUCUCAAAAACAAGGUGGCUGAGGAGGGUAAGUUGACGCAAAACAUAGCUGUCCAUGACCAACUCACUUUCAAUCACAAACCUAAUGGAGUACAACAAUCAUUGUUUGCAGUGAUGGUCAUUUAAUUUGUACAUAGUAAAAUGGUGAUUUACGUUGUUUGCUAUGGUAACAAGUCAGUAGGGCUGUAAAGUGUGUCACUUUUGCCAGAUGUGGAGAUAUUUAGCACUGUGGCUGUAGCCUGAAAUCAGAAGUCAACCAAAUAAUUGUUAACAUUGGAAUAUGUGGCUAAUGUGUCACACGGGGUUAGCAUAAAAGUAAGCUUGUGCUUACUAUUAUCUCAAUCUGAAGCCUGCUUGGUAUCAUGGCAACUAUUCACAUAUGGUAUGUAGAUUUGGACAGGAGAGAGCUUUCUACUCUAUUGAAGUUACAGUAUGUGGACUCAUGAAGCAAUUUUACUAUGUAGAAGGUCUGUAAUGUAAUCUCAUGUAUAUUUUGAGGUGGAGAGUCUGGAGAUAAAGGAGAUGAAGAACUUUGCAGUCUCUUGAGGAGAAGAAACACAGAGGCGUCAGAGGGGUUGCAAGUGGUCCUGCAAAAAUACAAGACUGCUUUAGGUCCUGAGGCCUCUGUCAUUCUAAAUAUUGAAGAGGAAGACCAAAGUGUCCACAGCAGUCCAGACACCAGUGAGGAUGAAGAGGAAAGCAUAACUUAGGUGAAGUGUGUGCGUGCACGUUCACAUAACUACACAGAUUAGUGUUACUCUUUAAGGAUUAUUUAUGUAUUUAUUUAUGCUUUUUCAUUCUAAAACAGCUCAACUUUAGCUUUUGAUCUUACCUCUUGUUUUUUCCCCCAGAUUGAAGCUGCACUGAGGAUGGACUAAGGAAAUGGACUUGCCUAGAAAGCACUAAUGUGAUAAAACAUGCAUUCGGUCGUAUUAUAUUAUUUCACACGCAUAGAUAUUAACUUGGCACUAUGGGGGAGGGAACCAAGGAAGGCAGGCUUUCCUAUGAUUGGCCGCUCUGAAGCGCGAUAUUUGAUUGACAGCCCUCCUCAGCCCGAAUUCAGCCAAGGGUUUCUUACUUGAAGGGACCUUCGCCCCGACGGGAUUGUCUUCUGAGUUUCAGCCAUUGACUACAAUACAGAAUGAAUGAGAGGAGGGCUGAGGAAGGCUGUCAAUCAAAUAUCGUGCUUCAGAAACAGCCAAUCACAGGAAAGCACGCCCUGCCUUGAUUCCCUCCCACAUAGUGCCAAAAUUAAAUUUGAGCGAGAGAGCAUAACAUCAUUCGCGAGAGGCUGUUAGGCGCGAGAGGCUGUUUAUGUACGACCAAAGUUAUUCCCCCCUCUCGCUUGCAACGAGGUAAUGCUCUCGAGGAUCUGUUUUCCUGGCUCGGGGAGCUGCGCUCUGAGUGGGCGCGUGCGCACAGAUAAUUUGCGCGCUCGCAGUUAACAUCUACGUGUAUGAAAUAAUAUAAUACGCCCGAAUGCAUGUUUUAUCACAUUCGUGCUUUAUGGCACUAAUGUGUCGCCAUACUCAACCGCUUAUCCGGGCAACUUCACACCUGACACUGCACUCUUGGGUCUUCUGCAAUACACCCACCAAGUGUAAAUUAAAUCAGAUGAACACUACUAACUGCUUCCUGUCAACUGACAGCAGUCAGCUGACCGUCAUUACAUCGCUGUAGCACGUGAACAUUCAUUGGUGCCACGCUUGACAGCUCUCCACACAGUUACAUAGCAUUGUGGUGAAUGUUCAGACCACUGUUUCAUCUCUCCCCUUCCAGCGUCACAGAUUAUCAAUCUUGGUGAUGGAGGCACUAGCAUUUUGGUGUGUUAUUUAGUUAAUGUGUGUAAAAGAUGACUUCCUCAAAUGUCUUGUUUUGUUCGGAAUUCAAAGAUAUUCAGUUGACAGAAUAUAUAGAAGUAUAAAGAAACCAGAAAAUAUUACAUUUGAGAAUCUGGAAUCUGAUCAUUUAAAAAAAAAAUAUUUUCAAAAAAUGAAAGUGAUUAAUCGUUCAUCCAAACAGUUGGUUAUUAAUUAAAAUCAAAUUGUUGCAUGUCAUGUAAAAUGUAAAUCAAGGAGAAAGACCAUUUUGAUUGAUAGGGUGGCGUGAAUAAGUAUGUAUACAUAUAAUAUGUAUGUAAUAUGCAUUAGACUGUGUAACAAAGAGACAGUUGUAUAGUUAAUAUAGGUACGUACAGUAUAACUGGAUUACAUGUUCUGUUGUCAUUGCUUAUGUAAAGCUAACGCUACAGUCCAUUUUUAAGAAAUACAGCUCAAAUUGUUUGUUUGUUGGACAGAUCCAUUUGGUGCAUUUUUCCAGUAUUGUUGCAAAAGAUGAAUAAAUUAUUGCCAAAAAUGACAAUUUUCAUGUUUAGAAACAUCAUGUGACAGUUUUGUGUUUUCUAAAAAUAGAUAGCCUAUCAAGAGAAAAUAUGGGAAACAAACAUAAAUAAUGCAUAAUUAAUUAAAUUUUGAAUUUAGUUAAAUUUAACAUCACAUACAUUAUUAUUUAUGUGGAUUACAUCAAUGAACUGAUCUCCUUGUGAUAUAUUUCACCCAAAUCAUCUAUAUGCAGUAUAAUGUAGCCUAUGUUUUACUUGUACAUUUUUGAUUUAGUAAAGAUUAAUUUCCCUAAACUUAAUUACAACCCUCCUCUUGGUGUAAGAACUACAAGUAUGCUUCCUAACAUUUCAAAGGAACGAUUGUAAUGGGCAUUGUAUUUUUAAAUACAUUGUAUUCCCCAUGAUUAGAAGUUUGCAGUAUUAAACUGGAUGAUAACAUUGUAAUUAAUAACAUUACAAUGUUACAUAUAAAUGUAGUAUUGUUCAGUACUAUAUUGGGUAUGUAUUAUGUUCUAUGAUACUUAAAUACUAAACC
Molecule: long non-coding RNA, 15922 nt
Organism: Gadus chalcogrammus (walleye pollock)
Lineage: Eukaryota; Metazoa; Chordata; Actinopteri; Gadiformes; Gadidae
Exons: 3
Source: RefSeq, a predicted model, not a curated record